CUACGGUUGCUGCAGUGGGGAAUAUUGCACAAUGGGCGCAAGCCUGAUGCAGCCAUGCCGCGUGUAUGAAGAAGGCCUUCGGGUUGUAAAGUACUUUCAGCGGGGAGGAAGGGAAUAAAGUUAAUACCUUUGCUCAUUGACGUUACCCGCAGAAGAAGCACCGGCUAACUCCGUGCCAGCAGCCGCGGUAAUACGGAGGGUGCAAGCGUUAAUCGGAAUUACUGGGCGUAAAGCGCACGCAGGCGGUUUGUUAAGUCAGAUGUGAAAUCCCCGGGCUCAACCUGGGAACUGCAUCUGAUACUGGCAAGCUUGAGUCUCGUAGAGGGGGGUAGAAUUCCAGGUGUAGCGGUGAAAUGCGUAGAGAUCUGGAGGAAUACCGGUGGCGAAGGCGGCCCCCUGGACGAAGACUGACGCUCAGGUGCGAAAGCGUGGGGAGCAAACAGGAUUAGAUACCCUUGUAGUC
This 463-nucleotide ribosomal RNA is filed under the name uncultured bacterium. Its description in RNAcentral is "partial 16S ribosomal RNA". It matches the Rfam family "Bacterial small subunit ribosomal RNA", at positions 339 to 795 of the family's 1533-position model. The record is from RNAcentral.